GCAUCUAUACCGUGAAACUGCGAAUGGCUCAUUAAAUCAGUUAUCGUUUAUUUGAUAGUACCUUACUACUUGGAUACCCGUGGUAAUUCUAGAGCUAAUACAUGCUAAAAACCCCAACUUCGGGAGGGGUGUGUUUAUUAGAUAAAAAACCAACGCCCUUCGGGGCUCCUUGGUGAUUCAUAAUAACCUCACAGAUCGCAUGGCCUUGCGCCGGCGACGGUUCAUUCAAAUUUCUGCCCUAUCAACUUUCGAUGGUAAGGUAUUGGCUUACCAUGGUUUCAACGGGUAACGGGGAAUUAGGGUUCGAUUCCGGAGAGCGAGCCUGAGAAACGGCUAGCACAUCCAAGGAAGGCAGCAGGCGCGCAAAUUACCCAAUCCCGACACGGGGAGGUAGUGACAAUAAAUACUGAUACAGGGCUCUUUUGGGUCUUGUAAUUGGAAUGAGUACAAUUUAAACCUCUUAACGAGGAACAAUUGGAGGGCAAGUCUGGUGCCAGCAGCCGCGGUAAUUCCAGCUCCAAUAGCGUAUAUUAAAGUUGUUGCAGUUAAAAAGCUCGUAGUUGACCAUUUGGCCUGGCUGGCAGGUCCGCCUCACCGCGUGCACUUGUCCGGCCGGGCCUUUCUUUCUGGAGAACCGCAUGCCCUUCACUGGGCGUGUUGGGGACCAGGACUUUUACUUUGAAAAAAUUAGAGUGUUCAAAGCAGGCCUUUGCUCGAAUACGUUAGCAUGGAAUAAUAGAAUAGGACGCGCGGUCCUAUUUUGUUGGUUUCUAGGACCGCCGUAAUGAUUAAUAGGGACAGUCGGGGGCAUCAGUAUUCAAUUGUCAGAGGUGAAAUUCUUGGAUUUAUUGAAGACUAACUACUGCGAAAGCAUUUGUCAAGGAUGUUUUCAUUAAUCAGUGAACGAAAGUUAGGGGAUCGAAGACGAUCAGAUACCGUCGUAGUCUUAACCAUAAACUAUGCCGACUAGGGAUCGGGCGGUGUUAUUUAUUUGACCCGCUCGGCACCUUGCGAGAAAUCAAAGUGUUUGGGUUCUGAGGAUUGUUCCCCCG
RNAcentral lists this ribosomal RNA (1052 nucleotides) under Pseudocoleophoma rhapidis. Its description in RNAcentral is "SSU rRNA". It matches the Rfam family "Eukaryotic small subunit ribosomal RNA", at positions 69 to 1116 of the family's 1831-position model. Lineage: Eukaryota; Fungi; Ascomycota; Dothideomycetes; Pleosporales; Dictyosporiaceae. The record is from RNAcentral.